ACUGUUGUCAAGCUUUAGUAUUUUCUUUGUGAAGUGAGAAAGAUUACAAAGAAACAGAGAUUCUUGUGGAACAAUACAGCUCUGCAGCAGAAGAUGGUGGAAAAUAAAAGACUGGCAUUUGCCCACUUUUCAACAGCCCUCAGGGUUGCACACCUGCCAUCAUUUCAACAUUUUCCCACACAAAAUCAACACAAUUUCCAUUGAAUGAUUUCAUUGGCCCAUAUCACCAGAUGAUGGUGAUAUAUCUGAGGAUGCUGUUUUGCGAUUUCAUUGAUGCAGAAGACUCCUUGGUGAGGAAACUUCUUUCACUGGUGGAAAUCAACUCAAUACUCAAAACCUGAAUGAAGGUGACCAUUCCCAAAGAAGGGACUGACCCUGAGGAAUUCUUCAAAGAGAGACUAGCAGAGAACUCAAGCUUUUGCCUCCUCACCACUCUGUUCUAACACUCUCACAGGAAAGGACCUUUAUUUCCAUCAGUAGGGAGAGAGUCCAAUGACCAUGGGCUUUGGGAUAGAGGCUAGAUGCUUAGAGCCCUGAGAGGUUCAGUGACUUGCCCAUAGCCACAGAGCCAGUAUAUAUCAGAGGUAAGAGUUGAAACUAGGUCUUUUUGGGUUAAUGACAAUAACUGACAUUUCUAUAGGGUUCGCUUUGAAGUUUGAAAAGGGUUCUUAUAACUGUGGAAAUGAAAAUGCAUUAGAAAAAUAUGUGAUUGAUCAUGUAGGGUGAUAGGGAUAUGAUUGGGGUUUUGCUGUUAAAAGAUCACUCUACUGCAUAUAUGAAUAACAUGGAAAUAGUUUUUGAACAAUGAUACAUGUAUAACCUAGUGGAAUUGCUUGUUGGUUUCGGGAGGGGGAAAGGAAGAGUGGGGGGGAUCAUGAAUCAUGUAACUAUGGAAAAUAUUC
This 902-nucleotide long non-coding RNA is filed under the name Monodelphis domestica (gray short-tailed opossum). RNAcentral describes it as "lncRNA (ENSMODG00000036437.1)". Lineage: Eukaryota; Metazoa; Chordata; Mammalia; Didelphimorphia; Didelphidae. The record is from RNAcentral.